UGUACGUCAUUUGAUUCAGGUUUGUAACACCAUGUAGGUCACAACAUGACUAAAAAUGGAAUCAGUUGCCGAAAGGGAGGGUUUUGCUUCUAAUACCUAUAGUUCAUACAUGAUGAACAGAACGGUUCACUGUUCUGUGGAAGAAAGAUUACAAGGUGAAGUGAGCUUCUCUGGAUGCCUUCACAACAAAAGAAUGAAUUGAAGAGAUACUGAGAGAUAUAGCUUGCUCUUUCUUUACUCUGGAUAUUUCCCUGUUCCAUCAGAAAUCUUUCCAUUAGCAGAUGCACAUUGCCAUCAUCCCACACUGCAUGUUUGGUCAGGAAACGUGGAGGCUAUGAUUGUGUUUAACUGCUGGGAUGAUUGGGUUUCUGAUAUCCUGCCAGGAUCCCACUGCAGAUACCACCAAGAGUUCCAUGGUGACGUUUGUAAAAAGGGCUGCUGCACAAGACUUAUUCUCCUCCACCUCUAAGGAAGAGAGCAAAGAGGAAACACUGAGAAGGCCGCCUCCAGCAUCCCCCACCAGCUUAGCUACUGAUACCUUGUUAAGGAAGAAAGGCCCAGGCCGCUGUCACUGGGAGGACUGGCAGAGACCAGGCACCUGCUCAGGCCCAGGCAGGCGAGGACCGUGUGGGUGUCAGCCAUUAGACGCUUCCUACAAACUCACAAGCAAACACGGCGCCAACAGGAACGUUUGUCAGGAACACCAGGAAACUGAACACAAAAGGUUGCAGCACCACUCGGGCGUGAGGUUGUCAGGCUACCUCCAGAGAUGCCAGACCCUUGGUUUGCUGAAUAUGUGCAGAUCUGCACUUCAUUGCUCUAGCCAUUAAUGCUCAACACCAAUGACAUGGCAGUUAUGAGGGGAGAAAUCAGUUCAGGUGCCACUUUCUCACAGGGAGGCAGGGUGAUGGUGGCAGGCAUGCAGCUGGUGGAAGAACCACAUAUGUGCCUCCCAGAGGUCUCCUCAGAGGUGACCAGGUCUUCUACUUCCAUGCUGACUACAUCCCUCAGCCUCAUGGGAAUUCAGGCUGAGGAGGUUGCAGCUGGCUCCGGGCAGGACACACUUGGCAUGUCAGGGUGUUGGGAUGUAAUACUCCUGGGGUCGCCCAACCAAGGCCAGUGGAUUCCAGUUCAUAGAUUUGAGGCGGGUGCAGUUGUUGCUAGUGGAAUGUGCAGUCAGAUGUCGGUCAUGGGCCUCUAAGAUAGAGGAGCAAGUGGUGAGCUGGAAGUGCCAGUUACCCACUGCUAUGAAAGUAUGAGUUUUUUUGUAAAAUUGAUUGUUUAUCCAGCUUAUGCGAAGAUCGUAAAGUUCCCAUAAAAGGUCUCUGAUUUCUCCCCUCAUAGCUGUCAUGUCAUUGGUGUUGAGCGCUAAUGGCUAGAGCAAUGAAGUACAGAUAUGCACAUAUUCAGCAAACCAAGGGUUUGACAUCUCUGGAGGUAGCCCGACAAUAGUUGAUAUGUGAACUAAAACUUUAUAUUCAUUAUGCAGCGUUUUACAGAAGCUUACCAGCAUUAGAGCAAUGGAUGACCAAUUCAACUUGCACAUCUCAUGAUAUUAAUUCAAUAGCUCCCAAUGUUCUGGUUCAGUAACUACACAAAAUUGUUCCACUCAGUUAUAACGUUGGGACUCAAAAGUUUAUACAAAAAUGUUGGAAAAAUCAACAGAGAGAUAUGAAUAUUAUUUCAUAGUAAAUGAUAAUUUUGUAACUGACGUUUAAGAAGAGUAAAUGGUGAUAUUCACUCUCAGCUGAACUUUCCUGUUCAAUUGCUAUUAAUAGAUGGAAAUCUUCAUUUGCCUUUGCCCAAACAUAAUGUGUUUCAAGUGAAAAAUUAUAAUUGGUACUGUAUAAAUUUAGCUUAAUUAAUUUUGUGGUUGUAAUUGUUAUAAUUGUGACAUUUUUACAACAAUAUAUAUCAUCUAACAAACUUCACACUAUCUAAAAUUUCACCAGGACUUUGGUGUAUAGAAAACUGGUCAGAAUAAAUAAUAUUCUGUAAUAUUUGGCUGAUGAUCAUCAAGUGUAACUAACAUCUAUAGAAGUUCAACUACCAGUACACAAUCAUACAUAAACCAACAGUGCUAAUUAACCCUCACAAUAACCUUUAUUACAGUUAUUCAGUUCACUAUAGCCACAUAAACAGGAAGAGCUUUACAGACUAUAUAUUGGAAGUCCUUUAAUGGUAUUCCUUUUGACUCACAGGAAGAGAUAUGUUGAAGCAUUACAACAAUAUGCUGCAGUUCCUGUUUUGUAAUUUUCUAUAACCCCUUUAUGUCUGACUACUAAAUUUAGUAGAUUAAAUUACUUACUAAAGACAUGACAAAAUAAUUGUGACAUGAAGAAGCUAUAUCCAGUGUUCACAAUGACAGCAAUGUUAUUAAAUUGCAUAGGAGGAAAUGGGAAAGGAGAAAAAUAUUUUGCAUAUAUUUGAAUGACUUACCUAUGAUGAAUACCUUUGCUGCUAAUUGUUGCUCAGCAACAAUGGUUUGCAUGGUCACUGACUUCUCAGAUUGCACAACUGAGCUCUGCUGUUAGUAAUCGUUUCAACAUUAACAUAAACUGGGUUUGAAUUUACAUAAUCUCUGGAGAUUUAUUUUAAAUAUUUAUAGCCAUUAGCGAAUUCAUGAGAAGUUACAUUUUAUGAUUUUAAUACGUAUUUCAGUGUACAUUUAUAGCUAUGCAAGGCAUCAAGAAUGUAAAAUGAUUUGAACUAGAUUUGUGAAAGAAUACAUUGAGAAAUUGGUGAUUUUCGGGCGAUUUCACCUUCAUGCUCACUUAUUUUCUUAUCUAUCAGUCAUUAUUAUUUGGCUAUGGAGCCAGGUAAGCAACCUGGUCCUGAGGCAUUGUUGCUUAACAAGGUGCUAGAAGGUGCCUGCAAAUUGUCUGUGAUAACUACCUUACCCAACUGUGUCUAUACGUUGCUCUGUUCAGCACACAGUCCACCUGAGAUUGCAAAAUUCCUAUGGAGAAAGUAAGGGACAAUCAUGUCCUGCCUCCCUUUGGAAUAGUGCACCUAUGUAGUAAUAAAAGAAGUGUGUUAUCCAAUUAAACCUUUAUUAUUUUAUGAACAAAAACAAAGUUGCUGGAAAAGCUCAGCAGAUCUGGCAGCACUUGUAAAGAAAAAAAUUCAGAGUUAACGUUUGGGUCCGGUGACCCUUCCUCAGAACUGUUCCUCAUCCGGACUGGGAGAAAAUUCAGCAGUCUGAUGUGUAAAUAGACUUGGGAGUUCUAGUCCAGGAUUCUGUCAAGAUAAACUUGCAGGUUGAGUCAGUAAUCAGGAAGGUAAAUGCAAUGUUGGCAUUUAUUUUGAAAGGACUUGCAUACAAAAGCAGAGAUGUACUCCUGAGGCUUUAUAAGGCUCUGGUCAGGCCACAUUUGGAGUAUUGUGUGCAGCUUUGGGCCCCAUAUCUCAGGAUGUACUGGCCCUGGACCACGUUCACAAGAACGGUCCCAGGAAUGGAAAGGUUAACUUGAGAGAGCAUGGAAUGCGUUGCCAGCAGCAGUUGUGGAAGCAAGGUCAUUGGGGUCAUUUAAGAGACUGCUGGACAUGCAUAUGGUCACAGAAAUUUGAGGGUGCCUACAUGAGGAUCAAUGGUCGGCACAACAUUGUGGGCUGAAGGGCCUGUUCUGUGCUGUACUGUUCUAUGUUCUAUGUUAACAUAUGAGGAACGUUUGAGGACUCUGAGUCUAUACUCAAUGGAGUUUAGAAGGACAAGGGGGGAUCUAAUUGAAACUUUCAGAAUACUGAAUGGCCUGGACAGAGUGGAUGUUGGGAAGUAGCUUCCAUUGGUAGGAGAGACUAGCACCCGAGGGCACAGCCUUAGAGUAAAGGGAAGACCUUUUAGAAUGGAGAUAAGGAGAAACAUCUUCAGCCAGAGAAUGGUAAAUCUAUGGAAUUCACUGCCACAGAAGGAUGUGGAGGCCAGGUCAUUGAGUAUAUUCAAGACUAAGAUAGGUGCUUGAUUGUUAUGGGGAGAAAGCGGGAGAAAGGGGUUGAGGAACUUAUCAGCUAUGAUUGAAUGGUGGAGCAGACUCAAUAGGCCGAAUGGUCCAAUUUCUGCUCCUAUGUCUUAUGGUCUUAGGACCCAAAACAUUAACUCUGACUUUUUCUUGCCAGAUGCUGCCAGACCUGCUGAGCUUUUCCAUCAACUUUGAUUUCGUUCCUGAUUUACAGCAUCUGCAGUUCUUUCGGUUUUUACUUUAUUAUUUUGUUUCCUUUUAAAUCAAUUUCGGUUGAGAGCUGAAGGCUACCUUUUGACCGAGCAGCAGCGAGUUGUGAAAAACAGACUGCAAAGAUGUUUGUUAAUGAGACCAGGUCAAUUGCAGAUUGUUUCUUUUUGAAAAGUGCUCUAAAGAUGCUUUGACUCUGGAGAGGCCUUCUGUUCAAGCAGGUGACAAAUAUUCAAUGAUAGCUGGGACCUUAUGGGAGGACAGUUAGUCUGACAGGGACAAGCCAGAGUUUGGACUGGCUUUUGAACUAUCAGAAGGAUUGUGCCUUCAAGAGGUUUGAUUGCUCCCCAGUUGACCUGUCAUCAUCAACUUAUCCAAAGUUCAGAGAAUAAUGUCUGCUACAGGAAUUAGUUUAAUAUUCCUCACAGACAUCUGCAUACAUCAGCGUCAUCUGAAACUAUAAGACAGAAUUCCAUAUGCCGCUAAUGUUACCUAUUGUGGUGACCGCUUAAUCGAACUGGCCAGUUAAAUCUCAUUAUUCCUUUUGAUUUAGCCUUUAACUAACUGUGUUGCUUGUCUGUCUUUGCAUGAACGUGGAGCCUAGAAUCAAGUUAGAUUGAGUUUAAAGUGAUAUUAAUUAGAUUACCCUGUAGUUUAACUUUGCUGUAUUAAAGUUACUGUAUUAUCAAUAAGUUGUGAUAUUCUUUGUUAAGCUAUAAACCUGGUGUUUAGUAUCAAUUAUGCACUAAGUUUGGACAUUGAGAAGGUUUAGUUAUGAAACAUUGGGGUCAUUAGAGUCAUUAAAUAUUUUAAUUUUAAUUUUAAUUUGUUAAGAACACUUGGAUUGAGAGACUGAUUUCAUUUGCCCAUGGUAUCCAUGUCAUAGCAUAUUCUAAGAACACAUGUUUUUUUUUUAAAUCUUAUCCAUGAAGUCACAAGACCCUUUCAGCAGAUUAAACAAAGGGGAAACUUGCUUUUGUGCGAAAGAACUGAAACACACAAUUAACUUAGUGAACAGUGUUCAAAGCUAUAAACUUAAGAGAAAACUCCAUUUUAUGCUAAAAUUCAUCAAGUUCUCAAAAAAUUUAUUAAUCAGGACAUGGUCACCCCCCAACCUUCAGUCUUCUGACCAAAAAAAAGGUCCAAAGUCACCAGGAAUUAAAUCCUUCAAGUUUUCAGACAAUAUGCAAUAUUGUGGAUGUGAGUUUGCUCGCUGAGCUG
Stegostoma tigrinum is the source of this 5390-nucleotide long non-coding RNA. RefSeq lists it as uncharacterized. The transcript has 4 exons. The record is from RefSeq and is a predicted model, not a curated record. Lineage: Eukaryota; Metazoa; Chordata; Chondrichthyes; Orectolobiformes; Stegostomatidae.